UCCUACGGGGGGCAGCAGUAGGGAAUUUUCGUCAAUGGGCGCAAGCCUGAACGAGCAAUGCCGCGUGAACGAGGAAGGUCUUCGGAUCGUAAAGUUCUGUUGAAGGGGAAAAAGAGCGGAGAGAGGAAAUGGUCUCCGAUUGAUAUUACCCUUCGAGGAAGUCACGGCUAACUACGUGCCAGCAGCCGCGGUAAUACGUAGGUGGCGAGCGUUAUCCGGAAUGAUUAGGCGUAAAGGGUGCGUAGGCGGCCUGCUAAGUCUGGAGUGAAAGGUACCGGCUCAACCGGUACAGGCUCUGGAAACUG
Molecule: ribosomal RNA, 305 nt
Filed under: uncultured bacterium
Lineage: Bacteria
Description: bacterial SSU rRNA
Rfam family: Bacterial small subunit ribosomal RNA
Source: RNAcentral